UAGGGAAUCUUCCGCAAUGGACGCAAGUCUGACGGAGCAACGCCGCGUGAGUGAAGAAGGAUUUCGGUUCGUAAAACUCUGUUGUUAGAGAAGAACAGCGCAUAGAGUAACUGUUAUGCGUGUGACGGUAUCUAACCAGAAAGCCACGGCUAACUACGUGCCAGCAGCCGCGGUAAUACGUAGGUGGCAAGCGUUGUCCGGAUUUAUUGGGCGUAAAGCGAGCGCAGGCGGUCAAUUAAGUCUGAUGUGAAAGCCCCCGGCUCAACCGGGGAGGGUCAUUGGAAACUGGUUAACUUGAGUGCAGAAGGGGAGAGUGGAAUUCCAUGUGUAGCGGUGAAAUGCGUAGAUAUAUGGAGGAACACCAGUGGCGAAGGCGACUCUCUGGUCUGUAACUGACGCUGAGGUUCGAAAGCGUGGGUAGCAAACAGG
RNAcentral lists this ribosomal RNA (429 nucleotides) under Bacteroidota bacterium. RNAcentral's name for it is "Bacteroidetes bacterium partial 16S ribosomal RNA". It matches the Rfam family "Bacterial small subunit ribosomal RNA", at positions 355 to 776 of the family's 1533-position model. Lineage: Bacteria; Pseudomonadati; Bacteroidota. The record is from RNAcentral.